Non-coding RNA from Armillaria fumosa, 98 nucleotides. NCBI's taxonomy places the organism in Eukaryota, Fungi, Basidiomycota, Agaricomycetes, Agaricales, Physalacriaceae. The record is from the annotation of a GenBank genome assembly.
GCCCGCCUAGCUCAAUCCGAUAGAGAGUCAGACUCUUAUAGCGGCAGGCGGUUCGUGUACGCAUCUGAAGGCUGCGAGUUCGACCCUCGCGGUGGGCU